RNAcentral lists this ribosomal RNA (301 nucleotides) under uncultured bacterium. Its description in RNAcentral is "partial 16S ribosomal RNA". It matches the Rfam family "Bacterial small subunit ribosomal RNA", at positions 509 to 807 of the family's 1533-position model. The record is from RNAcentral.
CAGCAGCCGCGGUAAUACGAACCGUGCGAACGUUAUUCGGAAUCACUGGGCGUAAAGGGCUCGCAGGCGGUUUCUUAAGUCUGAUGUGAAAGCCCCCGGCUCAACCGGGGAGGGUCAUUGGAAACUGGGAAACUUGAGUGCAGAAGAGGAGAGUGGAAUUCCACGUGUAGCGGUGAAAUGCGUAGAGAUGUGGAGGAACACCAGUGGCGAAGGCGACUCUCUGGUCUGUAACUGACGCUGAGGAGCGAAAGCGUGGGGAGCGAACAGGAUUAGAUACCCCCGUAGUCCCUGUCUCUUAUAC